This 65-nucleotide transfer RNA is filed under the name Camelus bactrianus (Bactrian camel). It matches the Rfam family "tRNA". Rfam says of the family: Transfer RNA (tRNA) molecules are approximately 80 nucleotides in length. Their secondary structure includes four short double-helical elements and three loops (D, anti-codon, and T loops). RNAcentral also lists the same sequence under 2 other names. Lineage: Eukaryota; Metazoa; Chordata; Mammalia; Artiodactyla; Camelidae. The record is from Rfam by way of RNAcentral.
GGUAUAGCUCAGUGGUAGAGUGCAUGCUUAGCAUGCAUGAGGUCCUGGGUUCAGUUGCCAGCACC